RNAcentral lists this ribosomal RNA (388 nucleotides) under uncultured bacterium. Its description in RNAcentral is "bacterial SSU rRNA". It matches the Rfam family "Bacterial small subunit ribosomal RNA", at positions 30 to 419 of the family's 1533-position model. The record is from RNAcentral.
AUUGAACGCUGGCGGCACGCCUUACACAUGCAAGUCGAACGGCAGCACGGGAGCAAUCCUGGUGGCGAGUGGCGAACGGGUGAGUAAUAUAUCGGAACGUGCCCGGUCGUGGGGGAUAACGUAGCGAAAGCUACGCUAAUACCGCAUACGAUCUACGGAUGAAAGCGGGGGAUCGCAAGACCUCGCGCGAUUGGAGCGGCCGAUAUCAGAUUAGGUAGUUGGUGAGGUAAAGGCUCACCAAGCCGACGAUCUGUAGCUGGUCUGAGAGGACGACCAGCCACACUGGGACUGAGACACGGCCCAGACUCCUACGGGAGGCAGCAGUGGGAAUUUUGGACAAUGGGCGCAAGCCUGAUCCAGCAAUGCCGCGUGCAGGAUGAAGGCCUUC